UGGGGAAUUUUGCACAAUGGAGGGAACUCUGAUGCAGCGACGCCGCGUGAACGAAGAAGGUUUUCGAAUCGUAAAGUUCUGUCCUGGGUGAAGAUAAUGACGGUAAUCCAGGAGGAAGCCCCGGCUAACUACGUGCCAGCAGCCGCGGUAAUACGUAGGGGGCGAGCGUUGUCCGGAAUUAUUGGGCGUAAAGGGUACGUAGGCGGUUAGAUAAGUUUGGUGUGAAAGCCCGAGGCUCAACCACGGGAAGCACUGAAAACUGUUUAACUUGAAUAGUGGAAGGGAUUGUGGAAUUCCUAGUGUAGCGGUGAAAUGCGUAGAGAUUAGGAAGAAUACCAAUGGCGAAAGCAACAAUCUGGACACAUAUUGACGCUGAGGUACGAAAGCGUGGGGAGCAAACAGG
This 403-nucleotide ribosomal RNA is filed under the name Bacteroidota bacterium. RNAcentral describes it as "Bacteroidetes bacterium partial 16S ribosomal RNA". It matches the Rfam family "Bacterial small subunit ribosomal RNA", at positions 355 to 776 of the family's 1533-position model. Lineage: Bacteria; Pseudomonadati; Bacteroidota. The record is from RNAcentral.